This 328-nucleotide long non-coding RNA is filed under the name Helianthus annuus (common sunflower). Its description in RNAcentral is "hypothetical non coding rna". Lineage: Eukaryota; Viridiplantae; Streptophyta; Magnoliopsida; Asterales; Asteraceae. The record is from RNAcentral.
UUCUGGGGAUUCAGAUCGCGUUGGUUUUAGACGACGCUCCCAUGUUGUCCACUUCCCGUAAUUUAGCUGCAGUUGAAGACGGUUUUUGGGUUUGUACAAGAAUGCAGUUGUUAAAAGAGUGGAUCGGUAUGAACAACAUUGAAAGUUUUUAGAGUUUUUUCAUCAAAAUCUACAGUAAAACGAGGAGAUUCAAACAGGGUUGUGUUGUUCUAGGCUGGUAGUAAUACGAUGAACUGGUGGUAUGUUCGAUGCCCUUUUCAUCACUGCCGACUUUGGUUUUUCGGUUGCCCCUCAUCCCUCCCGGGUCUAUUGAGCACAUAUUCGUGUA